CGCUGGCGGAAUGCUUUACACAUGCAAGUCGAACGGUAGAGGGGGCAACCCCUUGAGAGUGGCGAACGGGUGAGUAAUAUAUCGGAACGUGCCCAGUCGUGGGGGAUAACGUAGUGAAAAUUACGCUAAUACCGCAUACGAUCUAAGGAUGAAAGCGGGGGAUCGCAAGACCUCGCGCGACUGGAGCGGCCGAUAUCAGAUUAGGUAGUUGGUAGGGUAAAGGCCUACCAAGCCAACGAUCUGUAGCUGGUCUGAGAGGACGACCAGCCACACUGGAACUGAGACACGGUCCAGACUCGUACGGGAGGCAGCAGUGGGGAAUUUUGGACAAUGGGCGAAAGCCUGAUCCAGCCAUUCCGCGUGCAGGAUGAAGGCCCUCGGGUUGUAAACUGCUUUUGUACAGAACGAAAAGGUCUCUAUUAAUACUAGGGGCUCAUGACGGUACUGUAAGAAUAAGCACCGGCUAACUACGUGCCAGCAGCCGCGGUAAUACGUAGGGUGCAAGCGUUAAUCGGAAUUACUGGGCGUAAAGCGUGCGCAGGCGGUUAUAUAAGUCAGAUGUGAAAUCCCCGGGCUCAACCUGGGAACUGCAUUUGAGACUGUAUAGCUAGAGUACGGUAGAGGGGGAUGGAAUUCCGCGUGUAGCAGUGAAAUGCGUAGAUAUGCGGAGGAACACCGAUGGCGAAGG
RNAcentral lists this ribosomal RNA (688 nucleotides) under Pseudomonadota bacterium. RNAcentral's name for it is "bacterial SSU rRNA". It matches the Rfam family "Bacterial small subunit ribosomal RNA", at positions 34 to 721 of the family's 1533-position model. Lineage: Bacteria; Pseudomonadati; Pseudomonadota. The record is from RNAcentral.